GUUAAUUAUUCUCAAUGGCAUACCGAAAGAUCUACUAGUAAAAAGGUUCAUGCAAUUGAAGAAAUCAAUGUUUUGAGUGGAAAGAUGGAUGAACUUAUGAAAUUGUUUGCUAAUAAGAGUGUUUCUUCCGAUCCUAAUGAUAUGCCUUUGUCUACUUUGAUUGAGAAUAAUAAUGAAUCUAUGGAUGUGAACUUUGUUGGUAGGAACAAUUUUGGUAACGAUGCUUAUAGAGGAAACUUUAAUCCUAGGCCGUAUCCUAGUAAUUCCUCUAAUAAUUAUGGUAAUUCCUACAACAAUUCUUAUGGAAAUUUUAAUAAGAUGCCCUCUGAUUUUGAGACUAGUGUUAAAGAAUUUAUGAUUUCACAAAAGAAUUUCAAUGCUUUGCUUGAAGAAAAAUUGCCUAAGAUUGAUGAAUUGGCUAGGAACGUGGAUAGAAUUUCUCUUAAUGUUGAUUCUUUGAAACUUAGAUAUAUUCCACCUAAGCAUGAUAUCAAUGAGUCUCUCAAA
This 507-nucleotide ribosomal RNA is filed under the name Triticum aestivum (bread wheat). RNAcentral's name for it is "partial small subunit ribosomal RNA". The record is from RNAcentral. Lineage: Eukaryota; Viridiplantae; Streptophyta; Magnoliopsida; Poales; Poaceae.